This 342-nucleotide long non-coding RNA is filed under the name Lotus japonicus. RNAcentral describes it as "long non-coding RNA (LJAP_LNC001504)". The record is from RNAcentral. Lineage: Eukaryota; Viridiplantae; Streptophyta; Magnoliopsida; Fabales; Fabaceae.
AGAGCUGCUUUGAAACUACAUCAAGGAAACUCGAUGAUUUCUUCAACGAAAUAGUAGAAGGAAGGAAGAGCUUUUGGACAUAUGCAGUCAUAGGGAGAAAUAAUUUUGGAUAAAGAAAAUGAACUAGAAAAAAAAUGUUAAAAAAUGAAGCAUUGUCAUCUCUAUUUUAAUGCAUUAAUCUUCAAUGAUGCAUGUUUUUUGUUAAGGCUUUCUUUAAGUGUUUUAUAUAAACUUGAGAAAGAAAUUUUAAGAGUUCUCUUGCUUUAAAGAAAACAUGAAUAUGUAGAGGUUGGUGACUUCAAUAAAAAGAAACAUCUUUCUAUCCGAAGGGAAGCAUUCUCU